This is a long non-coding RNA of Pongo pygmaeus (Bornean orangutan), 1287 nucleotides long. RefSeq lists it as uncharacterized. NCBI's taxonomy places the organism in Eukaryota, Metazoa, Chordata, Mammalia, Primates, Hominidae. The transcript is spliced from 3 exons. The record is from RefSeq and is a predicted model, not a curated record.
CCCACAAAGAGCGGAACACUGAGCUCGCAGGCCGGAAGCAGAUUGCGCGCAUGCGCUAGGGAAGACUGCGGUGCUAGCCGCUGAGUGAAGACCGAAAGGGCCAAUGGAAACGUUAGACGACGCUCGGGCUUCUGGGUAGAGCGUUGGUGUCCGCUUUCGUGAAAUCGGGUUGCCUACCCCAGAGCUUUGCCGAGAUGGUCUUCGUUACAGGUGUCUGGGAGGCGGCUUAAGCUCACUUCACUAGGUCAUUAAGCAUGUACUUUGGUGGUUGCAUAUAUCUUGGAAGUCACCGGCGUUACAUUCUGUUUUCCUGGCCUUCGAACUGGAGCAUCAGUACUGCCGCCGUUGGAAUAGCAACGUAGAGACUUCGCUAUUUUGUGAAGAAACUCCAACUAUCCCCAUGGACACAGAAUUUUGGGUGCUCUGGUGCAAAUGUCUGAGUUCUGGAGGCUGGGAAGUCAAAGACAAGGCACUGGCAGAUUCCAUGACUGGAAAGGAGAGAAGGUCUCUGAGGAAGUGACAUUCCAGUUGAGACGUGAAGGAUAAGUAAAAACCAAGCAGAAGAAUUGGAAGAGGAAAGGGAAGAGGGAAAAGCCUGUGCCAAUGCCCUGAGAUUGGAAUAUGCUUUUUGUGUUUAAGAAACUAACAGAAGGUCAGUAUUAUCUUUACCAUACUUUUGGCUUUUUUUUUUUUUUUUUUUUUUUUGAGAUGGAGUCUCACCCUGUUGCCCAGGCUGGAGUGCAGUGGCGUGAUCUCGGCUCACUACAACCUCUGCCUCCUGGGUUCAAGUGAUUCUCCUGCUUCAGCCUCCUGAGUGGCUGGGAUUACAGGCACAAUGCUGCCAUGCCCGGCUAAUUUUUGUGUUUUUAGUAGAGACGGGGUUUCUCCAUGUUGGCCAGGAUGUUCUCGAUCUCCUGACCUCAUGAUCCACCCACCUCAGCCUCCCAAAGUAUUGGGAUUACAGGCGUGAGCCACUGUGCCCAGCCCAAAUACUGUAUCUUAAGAUUGACUAUACCAUACCUUUGGAAACUGUGUGCUGCCAGCUUAUCUAAACAUUCAUCUACUCUUUUCUAUUUCUACCAUCAAAAGGAAUUUUUAUUACUUUUAUUGGAUCAUUGCGAAAAUGUCCUAAUUAAACUCCAUCCCUCCAGUCUCUCCCUAAAUUGUAACUAUAUUAAACCAGCCAAGAAAAAUCUCUUAUACUUUGACUGGUUUGAGGACUAUAUCUGAGUUAUAUUAAAUCUGAGAAUUUAGUUUAUCUAAAUGAAUUAUAGAGCUUUCAAACUU